CAGUCGCCACGGAAUACGUAGGUCCCGAGCGUUGUCCGGAUUUAUUGGGCGUAAAGGGCACGCAGGCGGUGACUUAAGUGAGGUGUGAAAGCCCCGGGCUUAACCUGGGAAUUGCAUUUCAUACUGGGUCGCUAGAGUACUUUAGGGAGGGGUAGAAUUCCACGUGUAGCGGUGAAAUGCGUAGAGAUGUGGAGGAAUACCGAAGGCGAAGGCAGCCCCUUGGGAAUGUACUGACGCUCAUGUGCGAAAGCGUGGGGAGCAAACAGGAUUAGAUACCCGCGUAGUCCCUGUCUCUUAUACC
This 301-nucleotide ribosomal RNA is filed under the name uncultured bacterium. RNAcentral describes it as "partial 16S ribosomal RNA". It matches the Rfam family "Bacterial small subunit ribosomal RNA", at positions 509 to 808 of the family's 1533-position model. The record is from RNAcentral.